This 82-nucleotide transfer RNA is filed under the name Acidobacteriota bacterium. RNAcentral's name for it is "Acidobacteria bacterium (activated sludge metagenome) tRNA-Leu". It matches the Rfam family "tRNA". Rfam says of the family: Transfer RNA (tRNA) molecules are approximately 80 nucleotides in length. Their secondary structure includes four short double-helical elements and three loops (D, anti-codon, and T loops). The record is from RNAcentral. Lineage: Bacteria; Pseudomonadati; Acidobacteriota.
GUGGUGAAAUUGGUAGACACGCACGGUUCAGGUCCGUGUGCCUAUUACUGGCAUGGGGGUUCGAGUCCCUUCCUGGGCACCA